RNAcentral lists this ribosomal RNA (464 nucleotides) under uncultured bacterium. Its description in RNAcentral is "partial 16S ribosomal RNA". It matches the Rfam family "Bacterial small subunit ribosomal RNA", at positions 28 to 507 of the family's 1533-position model. The record is from RNAcentral.
GACGAACGCUGGCGGCGUGCUUAACACAUGCAAGUCGAACGGUAAGGCCCCAGCUUGCUGGAGUACACGAGUGGCGAACGGGUGAGUAACACGUGGGUGACCUGCCCCGCACUUCGGGAUAAGCCUGGGAAACUGGGUCUAAUACCGGCAAGGACCGCACCGCGUGGGUUGGGCGGACAGUUUUUUGGUGUGGGAUGGGCGCGCGGCCCUUCAGCUUGUUGGUGGGGUAAUGGCCCACCAAGGCGGCGACGGGUAGCCGGCCUGAGAGGGUGGCCUGCCACAUUGGGACUGGGACACGGCCCAGACUCCUACGGGAGGCAGCAGUGGGGAAGAUUGCACAAUGGGCGGAAGCCUGAUGCAGCGACGCCGCGUGGGGGAUGACGGCCUUCGGGUUGUAAACUCCUUUCACCAUCGACGAAGGUUUUCUGACGGUAGAUGGAGAAGAAGCACCGGCUAACUACGUG